Patella vulgata (common limpet) is the source of this 3369-nucleotide long non-coding RNA. RefSeq lists it as uncharacterized. The record is from RefSeq and is a predicted model, not a curated record. Lineage: Eukaryota; Metazoa; Mollusca; Gastropoda; Patellidae. The transcript has 6 exons.
CGCCUCGUGUCGACUUGUCGCCUUCUUCAUAAGGCGACGAUUUAGAUGGCCGCUAACAGCCACCAUAAAUAUGUGUAAAAUACCAAACAAAAAAAACAAACAGUAACAUCAUAAGCAGAGUUACAUAGAACAUGAACAACACAACACAGAGUUAUAUAGAGCAGUUACACCAUAAUCAGAGUUAAGUAACAGUUUAAAAAUAAACAGCCGGUAUACGCAAUCAGUAUAUAAAUAUCUUUUGAUAUUAUGUUGAAUAUUACGUAACAAUGACAAUGGUAACAAUAUUCUCAAAAUAUUAAAAUAUUGUGGCGAAAAAUUUUGAAACAAAAGAAGAACCCUCGGGCGAAGAUUCAUUGACGUCUAUGAAACUGUCAGUCACAUGACUAUAUGUAUGUUUAAAAUACAUAUAGAAAUAUUAACAACAGAAGCAGGCAUAUAUAGCAGUUUAGUAUUAAACAGCUGUUACUGGUUCUUAAGCCUCAAUUUGUGGAACCUGUAGUGGGGCAACAUUAGAUAUUGUAUUAUAGCGAGAACAGUCAGCUCUUUAUCUGAAUCUUACACAAGUUUACCAGUAUUAAAUCCACACAAUCCAUCAACAUGCAGAUGUUAGUAUGUCUAGUACUUGUAUCCAUUGCUAUGAUAAUGCCUACAGAUGGUUACCGCACCCAUUUUCAACUUAUUAAUCAGUUAUCAAGAACCAUAGCGUCUCCAGCGGCUCCAAUUAAACCACCACCUCGGGCACCAGCUCCUGUAUUUCAGCCUCCAAAUAGAUCAACCAAUUGGGUACCUGCUCCUGCAUUCCCGCCCCGAAAUAAACCAACGCAAUGGGAACCUGCUAGAUCACCUCCGCUUCAAUAUAAACCAAUACCCCAGGCACCAGCUCCUGCAUUCCCACCUCAAAAUAAACCGACACAAUGGGCACCUGCUCCUGCAUUCCCGCCUCCAAAUAGACUACCACCUCGGGCACCAGCUCCCGUAUUCCCGCCUCAAAAUAAACCAACACAAUGGGCACCAGCUCAAGUAUUUCCGCCCCCAAAUGGACCAACACGUUGGGUAUCAGCUCCAAACUUUCCACCACCAAUUAAACCAUUACCUAUGGAACCAGAAGAACUACCAACUACCCCAGCACCUCCGACGCCAGCAGCUGCAGCAGCAGCAAUAAUUUUAGCCAAUUUCUCUUCAAUGGGAGUUGAGACACUACACAAACUUGAUAUGGAGUUGAGCAGGCUAAGACAUGAAUCAAUGACACAGAUAGACCUAAUUCCUGUUGUGGAUGUUCUGGAGGAUGUUCUGCCGCUGAUCGAAGAUUUUUCCAUAGAAUUAAAGGACUCGAUGAUAAAAUUUAAGGAAAUACUGCCACUUUCUGUCAUUCCCAAUCUUAAUACUCCCAAACUAUCCCCUCUGUUUCGGCGUAUGAUGGGAACCGGCGUCAGGCGUCAAGUACCGACACAGUACAAUUGGAUCUGAAUAUUAGGAAUUUUGUAACGUUUAACAACGCAAAAUUUUACAUUAUUGAUGGCAAUUAUUGAACAUGAUGCCAUAAUGUAUUUAGUUACAUAUAUGAUGAUCUAAACAUUGCGCAAUUGUUAUAUAAAAAAUCUCUUUAAAUAUUGAAAAUCUUUACCCAUUUUCAUAUAAAGUUUUUUUUAUUAAAUCUCAACCUUUGUUAAUUUGACUAUAGAUUAAUUAUCAAGGCUCUGCAUGCCAAAUAAUAGACACAACUAUAUUAACAGUCAAAUUUUAUGAAACCAUAUUACUGCUAAUAAUGUUAUUACAAUCAAAGUUUGAAAGCAUACGAGCAUAAAAAAAUUUUGUAUAAAUAAUGCUCCGCUUAGUAUAGUAUUAUUAUUAUUGAUAUACAAAGACGAGUAAAGAAAUCACUAGAAACUUCAGUUACAAUCUGAUUAAAAUACAGAUCUAUAUUUUGUUUCGUUUUUUUUUUAUACUUUCAAUGGCCUACACUACAUGAAGAUCUGACCGGUUGUAGCGAUAGGUCGCGUCAGAGGUCAUGCGAGCGGCUUUUGGCCCUAUGACGUCAGACAUUUGAUUAACCAAUCAGCAUUGAUGUUACUAGUGGAUUAUCCACAGUUCCGUGCAAAACACGCCUAAAGCUCGCCGUAACAGACCGUUUCAUUGGCUAAUUCCUCACACCAUUCAGAACACGUCAAUUAUAACAACUCUUCCAGGGGCCUAUUUCACGAAAUUUUAACUAAGAUAAAAUCCAAAUUUUAGUAAUUUGAUUGGACAGUAUUAGGUUGAUUUUAGUGCUUAGCCAAUCAAAAUUGAAGUAUCUACUAAAAUUUUGGAUUUUAUCUUUAGUUAAGAUUUCGAGAAACAGGGCCCAGGUCCUAGUGUAGUAAAGACAAGUAAAACUAAAUUUUGAACUAUAAAAACGAAACGAAAUAGGAUCUGUGUUUUAAUCAGAUUGCUUCAGUUAGAAUUGAUAAAUCUGGGUACUUUUUGUACGAACAUGUUUGCUGUGUAAGAAUAUUCUACUUGUAUAUAAUUAGAUUGAAAUAUCGGGACAUUAUCAUCAGACAAUGCUCUGUUGUUAUUGUAAUAUUAUAAAACCUUUGGAUGGGGACGACAACCCGAGGUCCCAAGGAAAAAAAUGUCUCUAUCCAGUCCGUUAGACUAACUUAUUUUAUUUUGGAUGCCAAUUAAAAGUACUCUGUCCAAUUAAAGUUUAAAAGUUAAAUGGUUAUGUGUGUACAGCGGUUUUAGUAUAUAUUUUUUUUCUUUUUUAAAAUUAAAUUUAAGGUACAUUUGUACAGUGUAAAAGUGAAAUGCUUAAGUGUACAACGGUUUUGGUUUCUUUUAUUAUGCCUGUCCUCAUUAGCCCAGUCAUUUACAACUCAACAAUUAAAUCCAAGAGAAAUAGGGGGUGGGGUGGGGGAUUUACUACAUUGAUAUACUAUUGUAAAUAUUAUAAAUUUAAUCCUAUUUAUGGAAACAGCGGUGGCUCGGUCACUAAGAUGGUAGCUCGCUAACCAGGAGGACUCGGGUUCACUUCCGGUGCUGACCGAGAAAGUUCCUCUGGGUAUUUCGUUGUAUUUCCCCCGUAUCAGUUGUACAGGAAGGAAGAUCUGGCAAUGAUGGUGUCUAGUACUUCGGAUGGGACAAAAAGGCGAGGUCCCGCGUACACAUUGGCGUGCAGGGAAAAGAACCCUGACAGAUGGAAUUCGAUAUAAGAGUAGAUCGUAGCACCCCUUCCUGGGCAAAAUUUCCCUCAUAGCACAUUGUAUGGGUAUUUCCAUUUUCAUUAGCCCAGCCGGAGUUUAAGUACAAUGCUAAACCCCACUGCAUUCCUAUUUAUAUUACAAGUAUACAGCUACUUGCUUCAGUAUGUAAUAAUGUAUAAUUAUUUUU